Molecule: ribosomal RNA, 495 nt
Filed under: uncultured bacterium
Lineage: Bacteria
Description: partial 16S ribosomal RNA
Rfam family: Bacterial small subunit ribosomal RNA
Source: RNAcentral
GACGAACGCUGGCGGCGUGCCUAAUACAUGCAAGUAGAACGCUGAAGGCGGAGCUUGCUUCUCUGGAUGAGUUGCGAACGGGUGAGUAACGCGUAGGUAACCUGCCUGGUAGCGGGGGAUAACUAUUGGAAACGAUAGCUAAUACCGCAUAAUAGCAGUUAUUGCAUGAUAACUGUUUGAAAGGUGCAAUUGCACCACUACCAGAUGGACCUGCGUUGUAUUAGCUAGUUGGUGGGGUAACGGCUCACCAAGGCGACGAUACAUAGCCGACCUGAGAGGGUGAUCGGCCACACUGGGACUGAGACACGGCCCAGACUCCUACGGGAGGCAGCAGUAGGGAAUCUUCGGCAAUGGACGGAAGUCUGACCGAGCAACGCCGCGUGAGUGAAGAAGGUUUUCGGAUCGUAAAGCUCUGUUGUAAGAGAAGAACGAGUGUGAGAGUGGAAAGUUCACACUGUGACGGUAUCUUACCAGAAAGGGACGGCUAACUACGUG